GGUUAAGCGACUAAGCGUACACGGUGGAUGCCCUGGCAGUCAGAGGCGAUGAAGGACGUGCUAAUCUGCGAUAAGCGUCGGUAAGGUGAUAUGAACCGUUAUAACCGGCGAUUUCCGAAUGGGGAAACCCAGUGUGUUUCGACACACUAUCAUUAACUGAAUCCAUAGGUUAAUGAGGCGAACCGGGGGAACUGAAACAUCUAAGUACCCCGAGGAAAAGAAAUCAACCGAGAUUCCCCCAGUAGCGGCGAGCGAACGGGGAGCAGCCCAGAGCCUGAAUCAGUGUGUGUGUUAGUGGAAGCGUCUGGAAAGGCGCGCGAUACAGGGUGACAGCCCCGUACACAAAAAUGCACAUGCUGUGAGCUCGAUGAGUAGGGCGGGACACGUGGUAUCCUGUCUGAAUAUGGGGGGACCAUCCUCCAAGGCUAAAUACUCCUGACUGACCGAUAGUGAACCAGUACCGUGAGGGAAAGGCGAAAAGAACCCCGGCGAGGGGAGUGAAAAAGAACCUGAAACCGUGUACGUACAAGCAGUGGGAGCACAGAGCAAUCUGUGUGACUGCGUACCUUUUGUAUAAUGGGUCAGCGACUUAUAUUCUGUAGCAAGGUUAACCGAAUAGGGGAGCCGAAGGGAAACCGAGUCUUAACUGGGCGUUAAGUUGCAGGGUAUAGACCCGAAACCCGGUGAUCUAGCCAUGGGCAGGUUGAAGGUUGGGUAACACUAACUGGAGGACCGAACCGACUAAUGUUGAAAAAUUAGCGGAUGACUUGUGGCUGGGGGUGAAAGGCCAAUCAAACCGGGAGAUAGCUGGUUCUCCCCGAAAGCUAUUUAGGUAGCGCCUCGUGAAUUCAUCUCCGGGGGUAGAGCACUGUUUCGGCAAGGGGGUCAUCCCGACUUACCAACCCGAUGCAAACUGCGAAUACCGGAGAAUGUUAUCACGGGAGACACACGGCGGGUGCUAACGUCCGUCGUGAAGAGGGAAACAACCCAGACCGCCAGCUAAGGUCCCAAAGUCAUGGUUAAGUGGGAAACGAUGUGGGAAGGCCCAGACAGCCAGGAUGUUGGCUUAGAAGCAGCCAUCAUUUAAAGAAAGCGUAAUAGCUCACUGGUCGAGUCGGCCUGCGCGGAAGAUGUAACGGGGCUAAACCAUGCACCGAAGCUGCGGCAGCGACGCUUAUGCGUUGUUGGGUAGGGGAGCGUUCUGUAAGCCUGUGAAGGUGUGCUGUGAGGCAUGCUGGAGGUAUCAGAAGUGCGAAUGCUGACAUAAGUAACGAUAAAGCGGGUGAAAAGCCCGCUCGCCGGAAGACCAAGGGUUCCUGUCCAACGUUAAUCGGGGCAGGGUGAGUCGACCCCUAAGGCGAGGCCGAAAGGCGUAGUCGAUGGGAAACAGGUUAAUAUUCCUGUACUUGGUGUUACUGCGAAGGGGGGACGGAGAAGGCUAUGUUGGCCGGGCGACGGUUGUCCCGGUUUAAGCGUGUAGGCUGGUUUUCCAGGCAAAUCCGGAAAAUCAAGGCUGAGGCGUGAUGACGAGGCACUACGGUGCUGAAGCAACAAAUGCCCUGCUUCCAGGAAAAGCCUCUAAGCAUCAGGUAACAUCAAAUCGUACCCCAAACCGACACAGGUGGUCAGGUAGAGAAUACCAAGGCGCUUGAGAGAACUCGGGUGAAGGAACUAGGCAAAAUGGUGCCGUAACUUCGGGAGAAGGCACGCUGAUAUGUAGGUGAGGUCCCUCGCGGAUGGAGCUGAAAUCAGUCGAAGAUACCAGCUGGCUGCAACUGUUUAUUAAAAACACAGCACUGUGCAAACACGAAAGUGGACGUAUACGGUGUGACGCCUGCCCGGUGCCGGAAGGUUAAUUGAUGGGGUUAGCGGUAACGCGAAGCUCUUGAUCGAAGCCCCGGUAAACGGCGGUACGUAACUAUAACGGUCCUAAGGUAGCGAAAUUCCUUGUCGGGUAAGUUCCGACCUGCACGAAUGGCGUAAUGAUGGCCAGGCUGUCUCCACCCGAGACUCAGUGAAAUUGAACUCGCUGUGAAGAUGCAGUGUACCCGCGGCAAGACGGAAAGACCCCGUGAACCUUUACUAUAGCUUGACACUGAACAUUGAGCCUUGAUGUGUAGGAUAGGUGGGAGGCUUUGAAGUGUGGACGCCAGUCUGCAUGGAGCCGGCCUUGAAAUACCACCCUUUAAUGUUUGAUGUUCUAACGUUGGCCCCUGAUCGGGGUUGCGGACAGUGUCUGGUGGGUAGUUUGACUGGGGCGGUCUCCUCCUAAAGAGUAACGGAGGAGCACGAAGGUUGGCUAAUCCUGGUCGGACAUCAGGAGGUUAGUGCAAUGGCAUAAGCCAGCUUGACUGCGAGCGUGACGGCGCGAGCAGGUGCGAAAGCAGGUCAUAGUGAUCCGGUGGUUCUGAAUGGAAGGGCCAUCGCUCAACGGAUAAAAGGUACUCCGGGGAUAACAGGCUGAUACCGCCCAAGAGUUCAUAUCGACGGCGGUGUUUGGCACCUCGAUGUCGGCUCAUCACAUCCUGGGGCUGAAGUAGGUCCCAAGGGUAUGGCUGUUCGCCAUUUAAAGUGGUACGCGAGCUGGGUUUAGAACGUCGUGAGACAGUUCGGUCCCUAUCUGCCGUGGGCGCUGGAGAACUGAGGGGGCUGCUCCUAGUACGAGAGGACCGGAGUGGACGCAUCACUGGUGUUCGGGUUGUCAUGCCAAUGGCACUGCCCGGUAGCUAAAUGCGGAAGAGAUAAGUGCUGAAAGCAUCUAAGCACGAAACUUGCCCCGAGAUGAGUUCUCCCUGACUCCUUGAGAGUCCUGAAGGAACGUUGAAGACGACGACGUUGAUAGGCCGGGUGUGUAAGCGCAGCGAUGCGUUGAGCUAACCGGUACUAAUGAACCGUGAGGCUUAACCUU
RNAcentral lists this ribosomal RNA (2908 nucleotides) under Escherichia coli. RNAcentral's name for it is "23S ribosomal RNA". It matches the Rfam family "Bacterial large subunit ribosomal RNA". Lineage: Bacteria; Pseudomonadati; Pseudomonadota; Gammaproteobacteria; Enterobacterales; Enterobacteriaceae. The record is from RNAcentral.